GCGGUACUUGUACCAAUUGAGAUUUUAACACGAAGUGAGUGGCGAACGGGUGAGUAACACGUGGGUAACCUGCCCAGAAGUAGGGGAUAACACCUGGAAACAGAUGCUAAUACCGUAUAAUAGAGAAAACCGCAUGGUUUUCUUUUGAAAGAUGGCUCUGCUAUCACUUCUGGAUGGACCCGCGGCGCAUUAGCUAGUUGGUAAGGUAAAGGCUUACCAAGGCAGUGAUGCGUAGCCGACCUGAGAGGGUAAUCGGCCACAUUGGGACUGAGACACGGCCCAGACUCCUACGGGAGGCAGCAGUAGGGAAUCUUCCACAAUGGACGCAAGUCUGAUGGAGCAACGCCGCGUGAGUGAAGAAGGGUUUCGGCUCGUAAAGCUCUGUUGUUAAAGAAGAACGUGGGUGAGAGUAACUGUUCACCCAGUGACGGUAUUUAACCAGAAAGCCACGGCUAACUACGUGCCAGCAGCCGCGGUAAUACGUAGGUGGCAAGCGUUAUCCGGAUUUAUUGGGCGUAAAGCGAGCGCAGGCGGUCUUUUAAGUCUAAUGUGAAAGCCUUCGGCUCAACCGAAGAAGUGCAUUGGAAACUGGGAGACUUGAGUGCAGAAGAGGACAGUGGAACUCCAUGUGUAGCGGUGAAAUGCGUAGAUAUAUGGAAGAACACCAGUGGCGAAGGCGGCUGUCU
Molecule: ribosomal RNA, 686 nt
Filed under: Pediococcus stilesii
Lineage: Bacteria; Bacillati; Bacillota; Bacilli; Lactobacillales; Lactobacillaceae
Description: bacterial SSU rRNA
Rfam family: Bacterial small subunit ribosomal RNA
Source: RNAcentral